This 465-nucleotide ribosomal RNA is filed under the name uncultured bacterium. RNAcentral describes it as "bacterial SSU rRNA". It matches the Rfam family "Bacterial small subunit ribosomal RNA", at positions 32 to 507 of the family's 1533-position model. The record is from RNAcentral.
AACGCUGGCGGCGCGCCUAACACAUGCAAGUCGAACGGAGAAAGAAACAGCUUGCUGGAUCUUCUUAGUGGCGGACGGGUGAGUAACACGUGAGCAACCUGCCCUUCAGAGUGGAAUAACGUUUGGAAACGAACGCUAAUACCGCAUAACACCAUCGGAUGGCAUCAUCUGGUGGUCAAAGCUUUAUGUGCUGAGAGAUGGUCUCGCGUCUGAUUAGCUAGAUGGCGGGGUAACGGCCCACCAUGGCGACGAUCAGUAGCCGGUCUGAGAGGAUGAACGGCCACAUUGGAACUGAGAUACGGUCCAGACUCCUACGGGAGGCAGCAGUGGGGAAUAUUGGGCAAUGGGCGAAAGCCUGACCCAGCGACGCCGCGUGAGGGAAGAAGGUCUUCGGAUUGUAAACCUCUUUCAGCAGGGAAGAAGCAAGUGACGGUACCUGCAGAAGAAGUCACGGCUAACUACGUG